This 468-nucleotide ribosomal RNA is filed under the name uncultured bacterium. RNAcentral's name for it is "partial 16S ribosomal RNA". It matches the Rfam family "Bacterial small subunit ribosomal RNA", at positions 28 to 507 of the family's 1533-position model. The record is from RNAcentral.
GACGAACGCUGGCGGCGUGCUUAACACAUGCAAGUCGAACGGAAAGGCCCUGCUUUUGUGGGGUGCUCGGGUGGCGAACGGGUGAGUAACACGUGAGUAACCUGCCUUUGACUUUGGGAUAACUUCAGGAAACUGGGGCUAAUACCGGAUAGGAGCUCCUGCUGCAUGGUGGGGGUUGGAAAGUUUCGGCGGUUGGGGAUGGACUCGCGGCUUAUCAGCUUGUUGGUGGGGUAGUGGCUUACCAAGGCUUUGACGGGUAGCCGGCCUGAGAGGGUGACCGGCCACAUUGGGACUGAGAUACGGCCCAGACUCCUACGGGAGGCAGCAGUGGGGAAUAUUGCACAAUGGGCGGAAGCCUGAUGCAGCAACGCCGCGUGCGGGAUGACGGCCUUCGGGUUGUAAACCGCUUUCGCCUGUGACGAAGCGUGAGUGACGGUAAUGGGUAAAGAAGCACCGGCUAACUACGUG